UUGACUCUAAAACGGUCUUGGAAUAAGGGUGGGUAAGGACGGUGCCAGCCGCCGCGGUAAUACCGGCGCCUCAAGUGGUCGUCGCUUUUAUUGGGCCUAAAACGUCCGUAGCCGGUUUGGUACAUUCGUGGGUAAAUCAGCUCGCUCAACGAGCUGAAUUCUGCGAGCACGGCCAGACUAGGGACCGGGAGAGGUGUGGGGAACUCUCAGGGUAGGGGUAAAAUCCAGUCAUCCUGAGAGGACCACCUGUUGCGAAGGCGCCACACUAGAACGGAUCCGACGGUCAGGGACGAAACCUAGGGGCACGAACCGGAUUAGAUACCCGGGUAGUCCUAGGUGUAAACGCUGUGGACUUGAUGUUGGGGGCGCUCCGAGCGCUUUCAGUGUCGAAGCGAAGGUGAUAAGUCCACUGCCUGGGGAGUACGGUCGCAAGGCUGAAACUUAAAGGAAUUGGCGGGGGAGCACUGCAACCUGAGGAUUGUGCGGUUUAAUUGGAUUCAACGCCGGGAAUC
Molecule: ribosomal RNA, 512 nt
Filed under: uncultured Candidatus Poseidoniales archaeon
Lineage: Archaea; Methanobacteriati; Thermoplasmatota; Candidatus Poseidoniia; Candidatus Poseidoniales
Description: bacterial SSU rRNA
Rfam family: Archaeal small subunit ribosomal RNA
Source: RNAcentral